RNAcentral lists this ribosomal RNA (301 nucleotides) under uncultured bacterium. RNAcentral's name for it is "partial 16S ribosomal RNA". It matches the Rfam family "Bacterial small subunit ribosomal RNA", at positions 509 to 807 of the family's 1533-position model. The record is from RNAcentral.
CAGUAGCCGCGGGAAUACGGAGGGUGCAAGCGUUAAUCGGAAUUACUGGGCGUAAAGCGUGCGUAGGCGGUUCGUUAAGUCUGUUGUGAAAGCCCCGGGCUCAACCUGGGAAUGGCAAUGGAUACUGGCGAGCUAGAGUGUGUCAGAGGAUGGUGGAAUUCCCGGUGUAGCGGUGAAAUGCGUAGAGAUCGGGAGGAACAUCAGUGGCGAAGGCGGCCCCCUGGACAAAGACUGACGCUCAGGUGCGAAAGCGUGGGGAGCAAACAGGAUUAGAUACCCCAGUAGUCCCUGUCUCUUAUAC